Molecule: long non-coding RNA, 4098 nt
Organism: Coregonus clupeaformis (lake whitefish)
Lineage: Eukaryota; Metazoa; Chordata; Actinopteri; Salmoniformes; Salmonidae
Exons: 2
Source: RefSeq, a predicted model, not a curated record
GAAGCAGAGUGAAACCAGCUGUUAUCAAGCCGGGUUGUGCUCAUUAGGGAGAAAACAUUUAGAAGUAGAGUGAAACCAGCUAUUAUCAAUCCGGGUUGUGUUCAUUUAAGGAGAAAAUGUUUAGAAGCAGAGUGAAACCAACUGUUAAAAAAAACAAUUGAAACAGGGAGGUACAGCCUGAAUGUGUACUAAGAUACUACCUAAGAAUUUGAGCACAGAUUGUAGUUUUCCGUUGCAAAAUGUUUUGCUACGGUGUGACCUAUUGAACACUACCCAGGUGUGCCGCCAAGCCAUUAUAUAUAUGGAUUUCUGUUGACCGUUGUUCAGAAAUGGAUCAAUGGGAAAUGUAGGGUUAAUUAUUAUUGUACAUUCCUCUAAUCAUCUUCUUCGAUAAGCACUCUGAUCAAUCAAUGGCACUAAUAAUAUAUUUAUUUAUGUGAAUUGUCAAGUUUGACUUUUUAUUUUAAUGGUUGAGAUAAUUGUAUGACAGUUGAGUGGAUUAUGUAGUCUAUAAUACUGUAGUGUACAAAAUGAAAGUUGUUUUUUUGUUGUUGCAAUAGAAGACUUGAACCACAGUGUGGCACUGUUGGCCACCAGAGGAGUACCUGACGGUAUCUGUGUGUCUCCUGCCCCUCCCAGAAGACAGUGAUGACACACACAGAGCACACUGUGGCUCUUUCUAAAAAAUCCAUCCUCUCCUUCAUUGCACUGAUCUGAAAGAACUGAUCAGGUUAAAUAUUUUCCAAACAGUGCAGAUGAAGGGGGGAAAAUGAUGCGAUUGAGAAUGAGAUACAUCCGAGCUGUUGCUAGCAGCCAGACCAGAGAUGGUUGGUUUAUAAUGUUGAAACAGGAUUUGGCCAACCUAUUGAUGGUGUAUAAUGUUGAUACAGGCUAUGGUCAACCUGUUGAUGGUUCAGAAUGUUGCUACAGGCUAUGGUCAACCUGUUGAUGGUUCAGAAUGUUGAUACAGGCUAUGGUCAACCUGUUGCAUCACAGCCAGAGGUUGCUAGGGACUGCUUGUUGGAUCACAGCCCCAGGUUGCUAGGGACUGCUUGUUGGAUCACAGCCACAUGUUGCUAGGGACUGCUUGUUGGAUCACAGCCACAGGUUGCUAGGUACUGCUUUUUGGAUUACAGCCACAGGUUGCUAGGGACUGUUUGUGGAUCACAGCCACAGGUUGCUAGGGUCUACUUGUUGGAUCACAGCCACAGGUAAAUUAUGGAUGACCAAUUAGAGAGCUAGAAUCACUUGAACUAUUAUUGAUUUAUUGAUGGAGGGAGGGAGAGAGAGAGAGAGAGAGAGAGAGAGAGAGAGAGAGAGAGAGAGAGAGAGAGAGAGAGAGAGAGAGAGAGAGAGAGAGAGAGAGAGACAGAGAGAGUGUGUGAGAGAGAGAGAGAGAGAUCAGUCAGUGUGAUACCAUCAUACAGUACUCCGACUUUAAUGUCAUGCAGGCAGCUUCUGCCAAAGUGUGGUCUCUGUCUGGUCUGACACUCCCCAGGAGGAUCUGUCUGGUCUGACACUACCCAGGAGGAGCUGUCUGGUCUGACACUACCCAGGAGGAGAGAGACUUGAAGGUGUUUGUGCACAUGGGCCCGAUUCAGACAUUGGAAAUUACACCUUUCCUACGCACACCUUUCCUACGCACUUCUCAGUAGUUGGUAUUCAAACUUACCUUAUGAAGUUGCAUAACGGGCUUUGCAGGCGUGGUUCCCUUGUGGGCGGUGACUACAUGUAAUUCAACCACUGAAAACCCUCUCACUUGCUGGCCAACAGAUUUUCUUGUGGAGUUUUCAAUCAAUAGAGUUUUCAGUACAUUUAUCUUAAGCCAUCCCUUUAAAUACGGUGCACCUUUAAUUGGAAUUUUGUCGACAGACUAGAAUACAUCGAGAGAACAGGUUCAUAAAAUAGGGAUCAAUUAAAGAAAGCCAUCUAAAUAUAUGCAUAUUUGUCUUCAUUUCAUCACCAACUGGUAGUUUUAAAAAUACUCUGAUUAUUUAGCCACAUUUUAGGGUUAGGGAGAAUGAAUCAUUAAAAAAAAAACAGGUUUGGAGAUCCUUUAGGCACUAAAUAUAUCGAUGAAUCAAAAAUUAUUCAUUCUGAAAAUUGCCACGUUCAGUUCUUCAACCCCAUGGUAAUGUUGGAAGAUUAGUGUACAUAGAAUUGUAACAGGGGAGAAUAGUGUACAGUAGUAGGAUAUACCCUACAUGUCUUUUUUUUAAAUAUAUUAUCAACCGUUACUAAUGAUCCUCAGCAACAACCACGCGGCCGUGAUGACGUUUACAGAGGAAGGAAAUGGAGGUAAAUGAAACAAUGUAAUUAAAUGGAAUGAUAAUGUUGGCUAUACCAACUGAAGGGAACUAACAGUAAAUUGGCAGUUGAAUAUGUGUUGUUAUUAGACCUACUGACGGUCCAGGCUGCUAGUGGUAUUUAAACAUGAUAGAAAUAGGAAACAGAGAAAGUCGGAGCAGCCUAUAAUUAGGACAUUCGAGAGUGCCCAUCCCUGCAAGUUCAAAGGCUGUACAAUUUAAAUUCUGCAUAAUGACACAGCAUUUCAUGAACUUCACUGUGGGAAAGUUUAUAUGUGCUUCAGUUUGCUGCCAUGUGACUGGUUUCACAUCUGUCUCCAGUGGUGUUAUGGUUAAAUAGAUCUAAAACAAGCGUCAUUUAUAUUUACAAUUCCCUUAUCCAAACGGAUUACUCAAAUACCUCGCUCUUAUCAAUAACUCUUAUCAAGUUGUAAAUUACAGUUCUUGGAGAAUGGUGUUAGUAGAUGCUUUUUCCACUUGGAACCGGUAGGUUCGCUAGUCGUUAUUCAUGAUUUCCUCGCACGUAAAGGUGGUGGAAUUAUGAGGGAAUUAAGUCAAGGUCAGAAUACCGCGUAUCUGUAGACACACCUCUGCCACACGUUCAUUUAUUCGAUCUCCACCCAAAACGAGUAGCGUGUGAACAGCACGGGUGUGAAUUGAAAUCGGUACCAUGGCCUUUACUAGACAAUUUUCCUAAAAGGAUGUUAAAUUCCCCUAAAUCACUUAAUGUAACGUAAACUCCAGAGCCUGUAUGUAUUAUCACUGUCUCAUUACUGCCUUGUACAAUAAAUUAAUCCUGUGUAGACUAACUCGAUUUCUCUCAAAUUACAGUGAUAGUGUAUUCAUUUAUUGAAUAGUGAUAAUAUGCUUUAUUCUGUGAUUGAUCAAUAACUAAACUACAGUACUUAAAGGGGAAGUUCAGGAUUGUACAACUUGAUGUUAGAUGGUUCCUCACCCUGAAAGUAGUCUAUAUGCCCCAUUCACUUCCAUUGAGUGUGUUAGCUAGUGGUGGCUAAAGUUAGCGGAAGUUUGUAUUAGCUGUUUGAAGAAAACCGAUCCAUGGAUAACAUUUUCUCCUGGCCCAUAGGAACCAGAGCAACCAUUUUAACAUCAAGUUGUAGAAUCCUGAACCUCCCCCUUUAUUCUGUAUAUUUACUCUAGAUGUUGAUGUACAUUCUGUCAAUCCACAAUGAAUAUAUCUAUAUAGGAAGUGACAAGUUGAAUACUUGAGCUGUAUAUAAUAAUUGUAUAUUUUGAGAUAUUUCAGAUUUUUGUACGUAAUGUACCCUUAUUGUGUCUGUAGAUUUAUGAUGUAAAGAUAUUAUUAGUGUGAAAAUUGUUGUCCUCAAUCAAAAUAACUGGAAAGAUUGUACUUUGGUGUGUGUCUGUGUGCGUGCUGGUGUGAGCGAGCGAGAACGUGGCGUGCUUACGCUUGUGUGUGAAUGAGUGUGUGAUUCUGUGUACAUGUAGAUGUCAUUGUUAAAACUGGUUGUGUGUUUCUUAAUUUCCACCUUCAGUGUUGUGUGAGCUUUACUUACUGUAAUCAAGUAGAUAUGACUGACUUGUAAUGACUUGGGACCACUGACUUCUUUAAGCAAUCUGUAAGUGUUCUGUGUCUCUUCAGCUGUUCUUUGGGACAACUCUCUGUUCUCCACAGAAAUUACAACUUGAACAUGGCAUAAAAUAGCGUGACAAUUCAUGAGCAUCAAUACUGUAACAACCAAUGUUUUUGUCUUAGAAAAAACAUUGAGGGAAAAUGAAAUAAAAGUUACCACUUUUAUGAACGGUGUUA